RNAcentral lists this long non-coding RNA (1081 nucleotides) under Phasianus colchicus (ring-necked pheasant). RNAcentral describes it as "lncRNA (ENSPCLG00000003063.1)". The record is from RNAcentral. Lineage: Eukaryota; Metazoa; Chordata; Aves; Galliformes; Phasianidae.
GGUCAUUAUGGAAUUAUAGUUCCCUUGCUUAAUGAUUUUACAAAAUUGCUUGGCAAUCCAACAAAGAGAAGGAGCACAAUGUGGUGAAUGCAGGCUAAUUAAACCAAUAAUUGCUUCCUGUUGUGCUCCCAGAUAAUGUGCCCCUGAUAAUUUUAAAUGAAGUCUUGAAGCUGACUUCUUGAAUGAAAUGCUGUGCUAGUUAAAGCUUCACUAACUUUCUGUGUGCUUAGAAACUGGCCUACUUCUCAAGGUCCCUUGCAUUUCUCAGACAAAUAUUGCUAUGACUUAGGAGAAGAUGCAAACUUCUAUGUACCUCAGGAAUGCUAGCUUGAAUCUAGAGUAACUCCAUUGGGAUUUACCACAGCUUUUUGAGUUAUAUCUGUGUCAAAUGCAAAGUAUGUGACUGUUGACUGGCAGCUAUGUUUAGAACUUGGGAAAUAAUUCAUGAAGUCCCCAAGAAUUUCAAGGUGAUCUUCAAAGUGAUCUGAAGAAUAAUUUGGAAACUUUUAAUAUGGAAUUUGGAGGAAGAGUCUUUAGCAGUUAAUCAGGUAUUUUAAGUAGGCAAAGGUAGGAGAAGAAAGGGAGAAGAGGAAAGAAGAUGUUGUGAAGCGACAGAAGAUGGUAUGACAUAAGAGGAUGAACAGAUGUCUUCAAGAUUUACCAGUCAGUUUUGGAAAGAUUGGUUUCUUACUACUCCGAAUCUACCCAAUGAGGGAAAAGAACAGUGGAACCAGUGUUUUGUUUGGGUCCUGUCCUAUGAAGCUAGACAAGCAGGCCAACAAUCCUUCUCAGCCUUUCAUUAAAAAUGUCAACAGAAUGAUGAAUCAUUUGGAAUUGUUUUGAUGAUACUGUGUCAACACCUUCUGCAGAGUAAAUGUUUUAUGUGUACACCUUAUUUAUUUAUUUCUUAGAUCUAACUGCAAUUCUGAAUUUCACUAGAAAGAGAUUGUAUGUUCUUAUAGCUGUACUUCUCGAUGAAGGGAAUUAUUGAUCUUUCAUUUUCAUGGACAAGUAUAUAAAAAUAAUUGUAGAAUUCAAUACUGCAUAAUUAUAUUUAUCACUAAGCCUGAUGUGGCUUAUU